GGAAUUUUGCGCAAUGGGGGAAACCCUGACGCAGCAACGCCGCGUGAAUGAAGAAGCCCUUCGGGGUGUAAAGUUCUGUCAGUAGGGAAGAACAAAUGACUGUACCUACAGAGGAAGCAUCGGCUAACUCCGUGCCAGCAGCCGCGGUAAUACGGGGGAUGCAAGCGUUGUCCGGAAUCAUUGGGCGUAAAGAGUUCGUAGGUGGUUUGUUAAGUUAGGUGUUAAAGACUGAGGCUCAACUUCAGUAAGGCACUUGAUACUGGCAGACUUGAAUGCGGUAGAGGUAAAGGGAAUUCCUGGUGUAGCGGUGAAAUGCGUAGAUAUCAGGAGGAACAUCGGUGGCGUAAGCGCUUUACUGGGCCGUAAUUGACACUGAGGAACGAAAGCCAGGGUAGCAAAUG
This 401-nucleotide ribosomal RNA is filed under the name uncultured Vampirovibrio sp. RNAcentral's name for it is "bacterial SSU rRNA". It matches the Rfam family "Bacterial small subunit ribosomal RNA", at positions 358 to 774 of the family's 1533-position model. The record is from RNAcentral. Lineage: Bacteria; Bacillati; Candidatus Melainabacteria; Vampirovibriophyceae; Vampirovibrionales; Vampirovibrionaceae.